Molecule: ribosomal RNA, 482 nt
Filed under: uncultured bacterium
Lineage: Bacteria
Description: partial 16S ribosomal RNA
Rfam family: Bacterial small subunit ribosomal RNA
Source: RNAcentral
GACGAACGCUGGCGGCGUGCCUAACACAUGCAAGUCGAACGGAACUGUUUUGAAAGUUUUCUUCGGAAUGAAUUUGAUUUAGUUUAGUGGCGGACGGGUGAGUAACGCGUGAGUAACCUGCCUUCAAGAGGGGAAUAACAUUCUGAAAAGAAUGCUAAUACCGCAUGACAUAUCGGAACCACAUGGUUUUGAUAUCAAAGAUUUUAUCGCUUGAAGAUGGACUCGCGUCCGAUUAGUUAGUUGGUGAGGUAACGGCUCACCAAGACCGCGAUCGGUAGCCGGACUGAGAGGUUGAACGGCCACAUUGGGACUGAGACACGGCCCAGACUCCUACGGGAGGCAGCAGUGGGGGAUAUUGCGAAAUGGGGGCAACCCUGACGCAGCAACGCCGCGUGAAGGAUGAAGGUUUUCGGAUUGUAAACUUCUUUUAUUAAGGACGAAAAAUGACGGUACUUAAUGAAUAAGCUCCGGCUAACUACGUG